GAGGAAUAAGCAUCGGCUAACUCCGUGCCAGCAGCCGCGGUAAUACGGGGGAUGCAAGCGUUAUCCGGAAUCAUUGGGCGUAAAGCGCCUGUAGGUUGUUUAAUAAGUCUGUUGUUAAAGACUAGGGCUUAACCCUAGAAAAGCAAUGGAAACUACUAGACUAGAGUAUGGCAGGGGUAGAGGGAAUUUCUAGUGUAGCGGUGAAAUGCGUAGAUAUUAGAAAGAACACCAGUGGCGAAAGCGCUCUACUGGACCAUUACUGACACUCAGAGGCGAAAGCUAGGGUAGCAAAAGGGAUUAGAUACCCCUGUAGUCCUAGCCGUAAACGAUGGAUACUAGAUGUUGUGCAUAAUGUACAGUGUCCUAGCUAACGCGUUAAGUAUCCCGCCUGGGGAGUACGCUCGCAAGGGUGAAACUCAAAGGAAUUGACGGGGGCCCGCACAAGCGGUGGAGCAUGUGGUUUAAUUCGAUGCAACGCGAAGAACCUUACCAGGGCUUGACAUACUACAAAUCCUUUUUGAGAAAAAGGAGUGCCUUCGGGAAUGUAGAUACAGGUGGUGCAUGGCUGUCGUCAGCUCGUGUCGUGAGAUGUUGGGUUAAGUCCCGCAACGAGCGCAACCCUUAUUUUUAGUUACUAAUUCGUUAGGUUCUCUAGAAAGACUGCCGGUGACAAACCGGAGGAAGGUGAGGAUGACGUCAAGUCAGCAUGCCCCUUAUGCCCUGGGCUACACACGUGCUACAAUGGUUAAGACAAAGAGUCGCGAGCUUGUGAAAGUCAGCUAAUCUCAUAAACUUAGCCUAAGUUCAGAUUGUAGGCUGCAACUCGCCUACAUGAAG
Molecule: ribosomal RNA, 837 nt
Filed under: Haptophyta environmental samples
Lineage: Eukaryota; Haptophyta
Description: bacterial SSU rRNA
Rfam family: Bacterial small subunit ribosomal RNA
Source: RNAcentral